UUACAUGUGGAUAUAACUUGUUAUUCCUGUGGGAAUAUCAUUAUACCUAUAACAUGGUAUUUUAGAAGGAGCCCUCAGGACUUCCAGCCUUUCAGUAAAGGUUGGAUGCUAGUAUAUUUCACACACAUAG
This is a small nucleolar RNA of Erinaceus europaeus (western European hedgehog), 130 nucleotides long. NCBI's taxonomy places the organism in Eukaryota, Metazoa, Chordata, Mammalia, Eulipotyphla, Erinaceidae. The record is from Ensembl.